CCUACGGGAGGCAGCAGUGAGGAAUAUUGGUCAAUGGACGAGAGUCUGAACCAGCCAAGUAGCGUGAAGGAUGACUGCCCUAUGGGUUGUAAACUUCUUUUAUAUGGGAAUAAAAUGUUCCACGUGUGGGAUUUUGUAUGUACCAUAUGAAUAAGGAUCGGCUAACUCCGUGCCAGCAGCCGCGGUAAUACGGAGGAUCCGAGCGUUAUCCGGAUUUAUUGGGUUUAAAGGGAGCGUAGGUGGAUUGUUAAGUCAGUUGUGAAAGUUUGCGGCUUAACCGUAAAAUUGCAGUUGAAACUGGCAGUCUUGAGUACAGUAGAGGUGGGCGGAAUUCGUGGUGUAGCGGUGAAAUACUUAGAUAUCACGAAGAACUCCGAUUGCGAAGGCAGUUCACUGGACUGCAACUGACAUUGAUGCUCGAAAGUGUGGGUAUCAAACAGGAUUAGAUACCCUGGUAGUC
RNAcentral lists this ribosomal RNA (460 nucleotides) under uncultured bacterium. RNAcentral's name for it is "partial 16S ribosomal RNA". It matches the Rfam family "Bacterial small subunit ribosomal RNA", at positions 338 to 795 of the family's 1533-position model. The record is from RNAcentral.